Molecule: long non-coding RNA, 3174 nt
Filed under: Homo sapiens (human)
Lineage: Eukaryota; Metazoa; Chordata; Mammalia; Primates; Hominidae
Description: HSALNT0343013
Source: RNAcentral
CUCUCUUUGCCUGCCACCAUCCACGUAAGACCUGACUUACUCCUCCUUGCCUUCUGCCAUGAUUGUGAGGCCUCCCCAGCCCUGCGGAACUGUGAGUCCAUUAAACCUCUUUUUCCUUAUAAAUUACCCUGUCUCAGGUAUGACUUUAUCAGCAGCGUGAGAACAGACUAAUACAGUAAAUUGGUACCAGUAGAGUGGAGCACUGCUGUAAAGAAAACUGAAAACAUGGAAGUGACUUUGGAACUGGGUAACAGGCAGAGGGUGGAACAGUUCAGAGGGCUCGGAAGGAGACAGAAAAACGUGGGAAAGUUUGGAACUCCCUGGAGACUUGUUGAAUGGCUUUGACCAAAAUGCUGGUAAUGAUAGGAACAAUGAAAUCCAGGCUGAGGUGUUCUCAGAUGAAGAUGAGGAACUUGUUGGGAACUGGAGCAAAGGUGACCCUUGUUAUGUUUUAGCAAAGAGACGGGCAGCAUUUUAUCCCUGCUCUAGAGAUUUGUGGAACUUUGAACUUGAGAGAGUUGAUUUAGCGUAUCUGGCAGAAGAAAUUUCUAAACAAAGCAUUCAAGGGUUGACUUGGGUGCUGUUAAAGCCAUUCAGUUUUAAAGGGGAAGCAGAUCAUAAAAGUUCUGAAAAUUUCCAGCCUGACAAUGUGAUAGACAAAAACUGAUUUUCUGAGGAGAAAUUCAAGCUGGCUGCAUAAAUUUGCAUAAGUAAUGAGAAGCUGAAUGUUAAUCCCCAAGAAAAUGGGGAAAAUAUCUUCAGGGCAUGUCAGAGAUUCUUGUAGCAGCCCCUCCCACCACAGACCCAAAGGGCUAGGAAAAACAAAAUGGUUUGUGGGCCCGUCUCAGGGUCCCUCUUCUUUGUGCAGUCUAGGAAUUGGUGCCCAGUGUCCCAGUCACUCCUGCCAUGACUAAAAGGGGUCAAGAACAGCUCGGGUGUGGCUUCAGAGCAUGCAAGCCCCAUGCCUUGGCAGCUUCCACAUGGUGUUGAGCCUGUGGGUGCACAAAAGUCAAGAAUUGAGGUUUGGGAACCUCAGCCUACAUUUCAGAGGAUGUAUGGAAAUUCCUGGAUGUCCACACAGAAGUUUACUGUAGGGACAUGGCGCUCAUGGAGAACCUCUGCUAGAGCAGUGCAAAAAUGAAAAUGUGGGGUCAGAGCCCUCCCACAGAGUUCCUACUAGGGAAUCACCUAGUGGUGCUGUGAGAAUAGGGCCACCAUCUGUCCUCCAGACCCUAGAAUGGUAGAUCAACCAAGAGCUUGCACCAUUUGCCUGGAAAAGGUGCAGAUGCUCAAUGCCAGCCCAUUGAAAGCAGCCCGUAGGGAGGCUGUACCCUGCAAAGCCACAAGUGCAGAGCUGCCUAAGACCAUAUGGAACCCAUCUCUUGCAUCAGCAUCACCCGGAUGAUACAUGAGGUCAAAGGAGAUGAUUUUGGAGCUUUAAUAUUUGACUGCCCCAAUGGAUUUUGGACUUGCACGGGGCCUGUAGCCCCUUUGUUUUGGACCAUUUAUCCUAUUUGGAAUGGCUGUAUUUACCUAACGCUUUUUGCCGUUAUUGUAUCUAGGAAGUAGUUAACUUGCUUUUGAUUUUACAGGCUCAUAGGCAGGAGGGACUUGCCUUGUCUCAGAUGAGACUUUGGACUGUGAACUUCUGAGAUCUCUGAAAUGAGUUAAGACUUUGGGGGACUGUUGGGAAGGCAUGAUUAUUUUUUAAAUGUGAAGACAUGAGAUUUGGGAGGGACCAGAGGUGGAAUGAUAUAGUUUGGCUGUUUCUCAACCUAAAUUGUAUCAUGAAUUGCCAUGUGUUGUGGGAGGAAGCCGGUGGGAGGUAAUUGAAUCAUGGGGGUGGGUCUUUCCCAUACUAUUCUCAUGACGGUUAAUAAGCCACAGGAUCUCAUUUCUUUUUUUUUUUUUUUUUUUUUUUUUUUUUGAGACAGAGUCUUACUCUAUUACUCAGGCUGGAGUGCAGUGGCACGAUCUUGGCUCACUGCAACUUCUGCCUCCUGGGUUCAAGCAGCAAUUCUCCUGACUCCGCCUCCCGAGUAGCUGGGACUACAGGCGUGCUCCAUCACGCCUGGCUAAUUUUUUUAUUUUUAGUAGAGAUGGGGUUUCCCCAUGUUGAGCAGGCUGGUCCCAAGCUCCUGACCUCAGGUGAUCCAACCUCCCUGGCCUCCCAAAGUGCUGGGAUUACAGGUGUAAACCACCACACCAGGCAAAGAGACAGAUUCUUAAUGCUUCCUACAUUACAGCCUUCUCAGAAUUUUCAGCAUAAUUUUCUUUAAAUCUAACAAAGUCAUUUUUCUUCUUAGGUAGAAAAACGAUAUUUUUAUAAUCAGCAAUAUGUACAAAUUUCUUUUUUAAUAUUUUUUGAUUAUGUAUUUCUCUGUCUCUCUUUCUCUCUCUCUCUCUCUCUCUGUGUGUGUGUGUGUGUGUGUGUGUACAUGUAGGAAGGUACGUGGUAUGUGUUUCAGUAUGACAUACUCAAGUUUCAGUUUCAACUUAUAUGAGUUUUAUUAUCUUCUUCUUUCCUGAAUAGCUUCUCAACUUUCUAAACAAAAGCUCUGUCCAAUGUUAGUUAGCUUGUUUGAAAUAAACUCUCUUGCACACAGCGAAAACAGAAUCAUUUCAGCAUUCAGCCAUAUAGAAGAAAACCAUUAUUCCCAGUAAUUGCAUGUUUUUUAUUCUUAUUCUUCAUAAUGAACUACCUGUCCACAACUAUCAUUUCCAACUCAUUGUCUCAUGGAAUUUGGCAGGUUUUCUUUCUCAGAUGACUGGCUAAAUAAUUUGUAAUGAACUUUAAAUAUUGCAUUCUCCUCUAGGAAAGAAAUUUAUGCAUCUUUUACUACUCAAAAUAAAAUUCAAAGUCAUUCAGCUGUCAGAGAUAUAGUGGCAAUUGUAAUUGAGAAACAGCUGUGUUUCUAUUAAUUUAUUCUAAAAUAUUUGCUAAAUAUCUAAAAAAUGUUAGAAUAAAAAUUCCAUACAUUGGAAAUUAAUGCCAAAAUAUCCUUGAUAUUAGCUAUGACAUGGAGAUCACCCACGAUUUAUUUCAGCAUGCUUGGUAAGUAGUGUGAAUAUUUAGCAUCAUAGACCCUACAUGGUUUAAGCGAGAUUAGGUAUGUGGUAGAUAUGGAUAAGCCUGUAUUUCACAAAUAAAUAAAUCACUUUUUCAUGUCUUCA